UACGAAGGGGGCUAGCGUUGCUCGGAAUCACUGGGCGUAAAGGGUGCGUAGGCGGGCUUUUAAGUCAGAGGUGAAAGCCUGGAGCUCAACUCCAGAACUGCCUUUGAUACUGGAGAGCUUGAGUCCGGGAGAGGUGAGUGGAACUGCGAGUGUAGAGGUGAAAUUCGUAGAUAUUCGCAAGAACACCAGUGGCGAAGGCGGCUCACUGGCCCGGUACUGACGCUGAGGUGCGAAAGCGUGGGGAGCAAACAGG
This 253-nucleotide ribosomal RNA is filed under the name uncultured bacterium. RNAcentral describes it as "partial 16S ribosomal RNA". It matches the Rfam family "Bacterial small subunit ribosomal RNA", at positions 524 to 776 of the family's 1533-position model. The record is from RNAcentral.